AUGAUCAGCCUGUGACGCCCAAAGCCAAGAGGAAUGGUGUGUAUCAGACCAUAUAGGGAGAUGAUGAGCACUAUGUUCAGUUCAGAACUCCUCUUGAUGUGGAUGACUGCUGGUUCAAAGAGAAACAGAAACUCUGGAAGGUGGCCAAGUGGUGCAAUAGGUUAAGUUGAUAUAAUGAGAGGUUCGUAGAUUGACACCUCAUUGAGGAUUAGAUGCUAUUCUCAGAUCAAUCGUUACCAGUUGAUACCCAUACCUCAGACAGAGACAGAGGCUUAAUAGUUUGGCGUUUCAACUAGUGGAGGCUGCUGAGUGGAGGAUGGCUCAUAAUAAUGGCUGUAAUGAAGUGUAAAGGCCUUUAAUUAAGUGAAUGAAAUGGUAUCAAAACAAUGAGAACCAUGUGUUUGAUACCGUUCUGUUCACUCCAUUCUGGCCAUUAUUAUGAGCCGUCCUCCCCUCAGCAGCCUCUACUGGUUUCAAAAUAGGGUGGCAGGUAGCUUAGCGUUUAAGAGCGUUGGGCCAGUAACCAAAAGGUCACUAGUUUGAAUCCCAGACCCGACUAGGUGAAACAUCUGAUGUGCCCUUGAGCAUGGCACUUAACUCUAAUUGAGUCAUCAUCUUGUAAGUCGCUCUGGAUAAGAGCAUCUGCUAAUUGACAAAAAUGCAUGACAGUGUGAUUCUGGGUCCUGUCUGUCUAGGUCUCAGUGACCUGAGAGAGUGGAAGAAGGAGAAGGAAUGGAAGUAUUUCACUCAUUUUGAGGAACCUGUCUCUCCUGAGCCAGAGACACCUACUGAGCAGGCUAAAGCCGUGACCGAGACCACUGGGAAAUUCAGAUCACGUCUCUCUGUCACCUCAGAUCAAGAUGUAAGUAAUAUCGCUGUCUACCUAUCUCUCUCUCUUUCUAUCGCUCUCUCUCUUCCUCUCUCUUUCUCUCAGUGAUGACACAGGUUGAAGCUAGAGUCAUCUGUGCUUUCGGCUCUGGGGGGCUGUGUGGGCAUUCUCUUCACCUGAUUAAUGCAUUCAUAUUUUACUGCUCAAACACUGCUCACUUCAGCCUGUUGGCAGAGAAUUGCUUAAUGCACUUAUAUUUUUACUGUCUGGGUACAAGGGGUAUGGGGAAAUGCCUAACUUCCUAAACUGAAUUUUCACUUAAUCAUGCAUUGAUAUCAAUGGGAGACUUAGUGCAAAUUUGACUUUAAGUGGAAGUUAGAAUUGACCCCUUAUGAGUGGAUUUGUAACGUCCCCCUUUUCCUCUAUCAGAGCUGUAUCUUGCAGAUAGAUCUCUGUAAGCCAGAGGGAGGGUGGCUGGGCUUUGCUCUGAUUGGAGGAUGCAAUGGGAGCGUGCUCAGAGUGAAGAAGAUCUGCACUGGAGGCGUGGCCCACCAAGACGGGCGGCUCAGAGUGGGAGACAUACUGCUCGAGGUACGCACAAGCACGUACACACACACACACUUAUCAAUAACUGAUUAUGAGUCCUAACAUUACUUUUAAUAUAUUUGUAGUAAAUACAGUGAGCUCCAAAAGUAUUGGGACAGUAACAUUUUGUUUUUGUUUUGGCUCUGUACUCCAGCACUUUGGAUUUGAAAUGAUACAAUGACUAUGAGGUUAAAGUGCAUUUUGGGUAAACCGUUUGAGAAAUUACAGCACUUUUUGUAUGUAGUCCCUCAAUUUUAGAGGACCAAAGGUAUUGGGACAAAUUCACUUACUAUAUAUGUAUAAAAAUAGUA
Oncorhynchus mykiss (rainbow trout) is the source of this 1725-nucleotide long non-coding RNA. NCBI's taxonomy places the organism in Eukaryota, Metazoa, Chordata, Actinopteri, Salmoniformes, Salmonidae. The record is from Ensembl.